Molecule: ribosomal RNA, 816 nt
Filed under: uncultured bacterium
Lineage: Bacteria
Description: bacterial SSU rRNA
Rfam family: Bacterial small subunit ribosomal RNA
Source: RNAcentral
CCGAUUAAUGGGUUUAAUGGGUGCGCCAGGCGGACUAUAGUCCAGAGGUGAACUCUGCCAGCUUGACUGUAACGUGCCUUGAUACCUGUUAGACCUAGAGUUUAAAGGGACGUAACCCGGAAAUGUGAUGUGUAGCCGGUGAAAUGCCAUAGAUAUGUCACAAGAACCGCCCGAUCGUGAAGACCAGGUUACCGAACCUUAAUACUGACGCUCCAGGCCACGAAAGCCGUGGGGAUCAAACCAGGAUUAGAUACCCUGGUAGUCCACCGCUGUAAACGAUGAUCACUCGUUGUUGGUUAGUAAUAAUCAGUGGCCAAGCGAAAGCGAUAAGUGAUCCACCUGGGGAGUACGAUCGCAAGGUUGAAACUCAAAGGAAUUGACGGGGGCCCGCACAAGCGGAGGAGCAUGUGGUUUAAUUCGAUGAUACGCGAGGAACCUUACCCGGGCUUGAAGGUAAGACGAAUAUAUGGGAAACCAUAUAGCCUACGGGCGUCUUGCUAGGUGCUGCAUGGUUGUCGUCAGCUCGUGCCGUGAGGUGUUAGGUUAAGUCCUGCAACGAGCGCAACCCCUACUAAUAGUUGCCAGCACGUCAAGGUGGGAACUCUAUUAGAACUGCCUACGCAAGUAGAGAGGAAGGUGGGGAUGACGUCAAAUCAGCACGGCCCUUAUGUCCGGGGCUACACACGUGCUACAAUGGCAUAUACAGAGGGCAGCUACUCGGUGACGAGAUGCUAAUCUUAAAAGUAUGUCUCAGUUCGGAUUGGAGUCUGAAACUCGACUCUAUGAAGUUGGAUUCGCUAGUAAUCGCGCAUCAGC